This 1187-nucleotide ribosomal RNA is filed under the name Escherichia coli. Its description in RNAcentral is "partial 23S ribosomal RNA". It matches the Rfam family "Bacterial large subunit ribosomal RNA", at positions 1 to 1230 of the family's 2925-position model. Lineage: Bacteria; Pseudomonadati; Pseudomonadota; Gammaproteobacteria; Enterobacterales; Enterobacteriaceae. The record is from RNAcentral.
GGUUAAGCGACUAAGCGUACACGGUGGAUGCCCUGGCAGUCAGAGGCGAUGAAGGACGUGCUAAUCUGCGAUAAGCGUCGGUAAGGUGAUAUGAACCGUUAUAACCGGCGAUUUCCGAAUGGGGAAACCCAGUGUGAUUCGUCACACUAUCAUUAACUGAAUCCAUAGGUUAAUGAGGCGAACCGGGGGAACUGAAACAUCUAAGUACCCCGAGGAAAAGAAAUCAACCGAGAUUCCCCCAGUAGCGGCGAGCGAACGGGGAGGAGCCCAGAGCCUGAAUCAGUGUGUGUGUUAGUGGAAGCGUCUGGAAAGGCGCGCGAUACAGGGUGACAGCCCCGUACACAAAAAUGCACAUACUGUGAGCUCGAUGAGUAGGGCGGGACACGUGGUAUCCUGUCUGAAUAUGGGGGGACCAUCCUCCAAGGCUAAAUACUCCUGACUGACCGAUAGUGAACCAGUACCGUGAGGGAAAGGCGAAAAGAACCCCGGCGAGGGGAGUGAAAAAGAACCUGAAACCGUGUACGUACAAGCAGUGGGAGCCUCUUUAUGGGGUGACUGCGUACCUUUUGUAUAAUGGGUCAGCGACUUAUAUUCUGUAGCAAGGUUAACCGAAUAGGGGAGCCGAAGGGAAACCGAGUCUUAACUGGGCGUUAAGUUGCAGGGUAUAGACCCGAAACCCGGUGAUCUAGCCAUGGGCAGGUUGAAGGUUGGGUAACACUAACUGGAGGACCGAACCGACUAAUGUUGAAAAAUUAGCGGAUGACUUGUGGCUGGGGGUGAAAGGCCAAUCAAACCGGGAGAUAGCUGGUUCUCCCCGAAAGCUAUUUAGGUAGCGCCUCGUGAAUUCAUCUCCGGGGGUAGAGCACUGUUUCGGCAAGGGGGUCAUCCCGACUUACCAACCCGAUGCAAACUGCGAAUACCGGAGAAUGUUAUCACGGGAGACACACGGCGGGUGCUAACGUCCGUCGUGAAGAGGGAAACAACCCAGACCGCCAGCUAAGGUCCCAAAGUCAUGGUUAAGUGGGAAACGAUGUGGGAAGGCCCAGACAGCCAGGAUGUUGGCUUAGAAGCAGCCAUCAUUUAAAGAAAGCGUAAUAGCUCACUGGUCGAGUCGGCCUGCGCGGAAGAUGUAACGGGGCUAAACCAUGCACCGAAGCUGCGGCAGCGACACUAUGUGUUGUUGGGUA